Molecule: non-coding RNA, 71 nt
Organism: Phytophthora infestans T30-4
Lineage: Eukaryota; Oomycota; Peronosporomycetes; Peronosporales; Peronosporaceae
Source: the annotation of a RefSeq genome assembly
GCCUUUUAUCUCAGUGGUCGAGCGUUGGCUGUGUAAGACACACGUCGGUGGUUCGAUCCCGCCAGGGCGCA